CCAAUACUUGGCCCGCCGAUCCAU
This 24-nucleotide non-coding RNA is filed under the name Arabidopsis thaliana (thale cress). Lineage: Eukaryota; Viridiplantae; Streptophyta; Magnoliopsida; Brassicales; Brassicaceae. The record is from RNAcentral.